RNAcentral lists this long non-coding RNA (425 nucleotides) under Gallus gallus (chicken). RNAcentral describes it as "long non-coding RNA NONGGAT011959". The record is from RNAcentral. Lineage: Eukaryota; Metazoa; Chordata; Aves; Galliformes; Phasianidae.
CUCUGUGGUUCUCACUUGCGUGUCUAGUUACAGAUACUGGUGGUUACAGCAAGGCUUGCUGCUGCAACAGUUACAAAUAAGAUCAUUAGGAGAGCGAGAGGACUGAUAGGGAUAACUGGUUUGCUGGGAGAGAGGAUGACGAGAAAGACUUCAGAGCUGCAAAGCUGACCAGAAACAUGUUGACAUCAGUGGCAAACUUGAAAGCAGGAAAAGCAAGCAGAGCUAAACCAAGUGAGAAGCAGCGGAGAGAUCAUGCUGUCCAGGUGACCAUUUACUGUUGGAAGUGGCAGUAUCCUGAAAUGCUUAUUGCUUUUGCACAGGUUGCUGUAUUUAAAGCUCAUCAGCAUGUAAACCCAAACUCGCAGGCAGCAGAAACCUGGAGUCCAGUUAAACUAAAAAGGAUAUAAACUUCUUUAGGAUUUUUU